RNAcentral lists this ribosomal RNA (267 nucleotides) under uncultured bacterium. Its description in RNAcentral is "partial 16S ribosomal RNA". It matches the Rfam family "Bacterial small subunit ribosomal RNA", at positions 793 to 1055 of the family's 1533-position model. The record is from RNAcentral.
GUCCACGCUGUAAACGAUGAGCACUAGGUGUCGCGGGUAUUGACCCCUGCGGUGCCGACGCUAACGCAUUAAGUGCUCCGCCUGGGGAGUACGGUCGCAAGAUUAAAAACUCAAAAGGAAUUGACGGGGGCCCGCACAAGCGGUGGAGCAUGUGGUUCAAUUCGACGCAACGCGCAGAACCUUACCCGGGCUAGACAACGGUGGACCGCCCCAGAGAUGGGGCUUUCCCUUCGGGGACCGCCGGUUCAGGUGCUGCAUGGCUGUCGU